RNAcentral lists this small nucleolar RNA (165 nucleotides) under Lachancea lanzarotensis. Its description in RNAcentral is "Small nucleolar RNA snR161". It matches the Rfam family "Small nucleolar RNA snR161". The record is from Rfam by way of RNAcentral. Lineage: Eukaryota; Fungi; Ascomycota; Saccharomycetes; Saccharomycetales; Saccharomycetaceae.
GAAAUCUCCAUACGUAACCAGUCUCAUUGGCUGUCCACAUUUCCCCAACAUGUGGAUGGUCUCUUUAAGCUGGGAGACUGAGGUUUCUUAAACUCGGAACAACUCAAGUUCUGUCGUGGCAGCUAUAAUUCCAAGUUCCAGGACACUAUCGUCGUUCAUACAUAU